GACAUGAGCAGCCGGCGUUAUACUUAGUAGUUGGGUGUAAAAGAUACAUAGGGGUGUAUUAAUUUUUCUAAAAACCUAAUAUUUUAGUUUAUCAUAUACAUUAUUAUUGUAGAAAAGCGCGUGCUGGUUUUCUGGAGAGAUUAAAUUCAGAGAAUUUUAAAAAGCUAUCGAUUAUGAAGAUAACGCACUAGCUACAAUUGAACCUGGUGUAUGAAAGCAUAGGCAACGACAAGGACCCUACCUAGUAGACUAUGCUGUGAAAAAUGGUUGAUAAAGAUUUACGUAAGACAGACCUACCUGGGUAGUAAUGGCGCAAGUCCGAAACUUAAUGAGAUUGGCGGGGUUUUCAUCUAGUAGUGGAACAUGUGGUUUAAUGCGAUAAUCCCCGCAAAAUCUUACCAAGAUAUUUUGCCCACAUGACGUAACCUAGAUUGUUACUGCAAUGGGCUAAUAGGUGUUGCAUGGCCAACGUAAGUCCGUGAUUUAAAUCAUAAAGUUUAAUCUAUUUAACGGACGAAACCCCAAUAUGUGUAAUACGUACUCCGUAACCACACAAUAUUGAAACGUUUCCGAGAGUUUCUACAGUAGUAGAAAAGGGAGGAACGCUAUUAGGGCAGAAGUUAGGUCUUUACGGCCCUCAUAUUUUGGGCUACUCACGUGUUAUAAUGGAGAAAUCAAACGGAGGCGACCCUUAAAGGAAAGCAAAUCCGCAAAUAUCUCCUAAGUUCUAAGCGCUUGUUGUAACUUAUAAGCGCGAAGCAAGAAUUGCUAGUAAUCGUUUAAUAAUAUGAAACGGUGAAUAGGUCAUUCAACCUGCACACACCGCCCAUCACGCUC
This 837-nucleotide ribosomal RNA is filed under the name Zosterodasys sp. PW-2017a. RNAcentral's name for it is "SSU rRNA". It matches the Rfam family "Bacterial small subunit ribosomal RNA", at positions 524 to 1404 of the family's 1533-position model. The record is from RNAcentral. Lineage: Eukaryota; Ciliophora; Nassophorea; Synhymeniida; Orthodonellidae.